RNAcentral lists this ribosomal RNA (1887 nucleotides) under Triticum aestivum (bread wheat). Its description in RNAcentral is "partial small subunit ribosomal RNA". The record is from RNAcentral. Lineage: Eukaryota; Viridiplantae; Streptophyta; Magnoliopsida; Poales; Poaceae.
AUGGCAGUCAUAGCCGGGUUAGGCACCUAUGGGCAUCACUAUCGCCACCAUCCUUUGAUCCGCUUCCUCUACCUAGGAGCCAUCACCUUGUUCCUACCCAUUGUAUCUGAUGUCGUCUCCACCAUCCCAAAUCCUUACACCAUCACUGUUUAUCCAAAACACGACCGAGUCAUAUUAUCAAACUGUGAAGCAGACGGCCAUGUCUUCCUGGUCAUAUUGUGGAUCGGUCUUGUUCAGAUCGUUGGUGCCAACGCCACAACAAUAGUGGCCAGUGAUUCUAGAGAAGGUCGAAGCAUUGCACCCUCUGCAGUGCAACUUGUUAAAGCAAUCUGGACUUCCUACCUGGCCUACAUGAUGAUAGAAUCAGGCCUAGAGCCAUAUGGAUAUAAUGUCAAAUGGUCUCAAGAUCGGCAGCUUUCUCUCCUAGAUAUUCUCCUCCUUGCACUACCAUAUGCUCUUAUUUUGUCCAAAUUGCUUUUGAAGUACUAUGCAUGGUACAAGGCCUCGCGAUCAUUAGCGUUUGGACGCAAUCCGCGCCUCAUUGUUGGAUACAUGGAGAAGCUACAAGUAGGAACCCAUUAUGCUGAGUUGGCAAUAAGUGAGCAUGAUGUACCUCCUCCACUCAUAGUUAUGGGAGAGGACACUGUAUUGGUAGAGAAGCAACCUCAUGGUUACAGCCUGGCAGGGAUGAACAUCAACAAUGGCUUACUGACCAUCGACAGAGUUUGGCAGUUGGAUGACACAUUAUUGCUUUGGAGAUCAAAAGAUUUGUGCCUUGCAUUCGCAUUGUUCAAGAUGCUACGGUGUCGGUUUGCAAGCAUCGGCUACUGCUUAUUUGUCAUCACCUUUUUGGUAACAACUUUCCGAGGUUACAGUGCUCUAGAUUAUGAGCAGAUUUAUUGUCAUCCGGUACACUGCCAUCCUGUAUCCGGUUCUACAUAUACGUAUAGGAGUGAGAGUAAAGCAGAGGUGAGUUUUGGAAGAUUGUUGUUUGACUUUUUGCCAGUGUGUCUACUUGGGACACUAGGUGUGCUUGUUGAAGCGAGGGAGAUUGCUUCUUACAUCUGCUCCAACUGGACUAAAGUAGCCCUGAUUUGUGGCUAUCGAUGGGAGGACAAGAUGUACCAGUGCUCAAUCCUAGUUCUCCACCCAAGUAGAAAUCCAAUUGCUCUUCUUCGACGUAUCCUUCAUCUGCCGGACCUGAAGAUGAAGAUACCAAGAGCAGUGAACGCCGCCGUCCUCGACGUGCUCAGAAACAAUGGCGCAACACCUCGACAGCUGCAAGUCGGCAGCGACCUCCUCUGGACAUUCCAUGAAGCCAAGGGCGCAGCCGAUGCCAUGCUCGUGUGUCACGUUGCCACAAGCAUCCUUGUAAUGACAAGAUCACGAGAGCAACUUCCCUCCGACCAUGAGAUCGUCGCCACUCACCUCUCGCGAUAUUGCGCCUAUUUGGUGGCAUGUUGUCCCAAGCUCCUUCCCGACGACCACGUGUGGUGCAGGAGCUUGUAUAAGGCUGUCAAGAAGGACGCUGGGCGUGUCCUCGCCGGCCACGACAUUACGGUGUCGUCGUUGGAAGCGGAGCACCGGCGGCUGGUGGAGCUGCUGAGGGCACGGUCCAAGCACCAGGUCCUCAAGGAUGGUGCGGAGCUCGGGCAACGGCUUGCUGAGCUGCCGGAAGGAGAGGAGGUGGCGUGGAAGGCCCUCGCCGGCUUCUGGACGGAGAUGAUCGUCAGCGUCGCCGCUACUCGUGACAACAUCGACGAGCACGCGGAAGCCGUUGCCCGGGGCGGGGAGCUGGUAACUCUCCUCUGGGCGUUGCUGGCCCAUGUCGGCAGCGUCGACGACUACACGGCCGCUGCCACUCAUGGUGCUCCCGAUGUUGUUUAA